This 351-nucleotide ribosomal RNA is filed under the name Staphylococcus sp. BASZUR1002. RNAcentral's name for it is "bacterial SSU rRNA". It matches the Rfam family "Bacterial small subunit ribosomal RNA", at positions 76 to 419 of the family's 1533-position model. The record is from RNAcentral. Lineage: Bacteria; Bacillati; Bacillota; Bacilli; Caryophanales; Staphylococcaceae.
AAGCUUGCUUCUCUGAUGUUAGCGGCGGACGGGUGAGUAACACGUGGAUAACCUACCUAUAAGACUGGGAUAACUUCGGGAAACCGGAGCUAAUACCGGAUAAUAUUUUGAACCGCAUGGUUCAAAAGUGAAAGACGGUCUUGCUGUCACUUAUAGAUGGAUCCGCGCUGCAUUAGCUAGUUGGUAAGGUAACGGCUUACCAAGGCAACGAUGCAUAGCCGACCUGAGAGGGUGAUCGGCCACACUGGAACUGAGACACGGUCCAGACUCCUACGGGAGGCAGCAGUAGGGAAUCUUCCGCAAUGGGCGAAAGCCUGACGGAGCAACGCCGCGUGAGUGAUGAAGGUCUUC